AGAUCCACCAGCACAGCAUGGAGCAUAGGGAACU
RNAcentral lists this non-coding RNA (34 nucleotides) under Geotalea daltonii FRC-32. The record is from RNAcentral. Lineage: Bacteria; Pseudomonadati; Thermodesulfobacteriota; Desulfuromonadia; Geobacterales; Geobacteraceae.